This 253-nucleotide ribosomal RNA is filed under the name uncultured bacterium. RNAcentral describes it as "partial 16S ribosomal RNA". It matches the Rfam family "Bacterial small subunit ribosomal RNA", at positions 524 to 776 of the family's 1533-position model. The record is from RNAcentral.
UACGUAGGUGACAAGCGUUAUCCGGAUUUAUUGGGCGUAAAGCGCACGCAGGCGGCUGAUUAAGUCUGACGUGAAAUCUCCCGGCUUAACCGGGAGCGGUCGUUGGAAACUAAUCGGCUCGAGGCGAUGAGAGGGGUGUGGAAUUCCCGGUGUAGUGGUGGAAUGCGUAGAUAUCGGGGGGAACAUCAGUGGCGAAAGCGGCACGCUGGCAUGUGCCUGACGCUCAGGUGCGAAAGCGUGGGGAGCGAACGGG